This 492-nucleotide ribosomal RNA is filed under the name uncultured bacterium. RNAcentral's name for it is "partial 16S ribosomal RNA". It matches the Rfam family "Bacterial small subunit ribosomal RNA", at positions 29 to 507 of the family's 1533-position model. The record is from RNAcentral.
AGUGAACGCUGGCGGCAGGCCUAACACAUGCAAGUCGAGCGGCAGCACGGUAAGAGCUUGCUCUUACGGGUGGCGAGUGGCGGGUGGGUGCGGAGUACAUCGGAAUCUACUUUUUCGUGGGGGAUAACGUGGGGACACUUACGCUACUAGCGCAUACGACGUACGGGUGAGAUCAGGGGAUCUUCGGAUCUUGCGCGAUUGUAUGAGCCGAUGUCGGAUUAGCUAGUUGGAGGGGUAAAGGCCCACCAAGGCGACGAUCCGUAGCUGGCCUGAGAGGAUGAUCAGCCACACUGGAACUGAGACACGGUCCAGACUCCUACGGGAGGCAGCAGUGGGGAAUAUUGGACAAUGGGCGAAAGCCUGAUCCAGCCAUGCCGCGUGUGUGAAGAAGGCCUUCGGGUUGUAAAGCCCUUUUGUUGGGAAAGAAAAGCAGCAGGUUAAUACCUCGCUGUUCUGACGGUACCCAAAGAAUAAGCACCGGCUAACUUCGUG